GAUAUUCCAUGCUUCCAAGAAAAGCAUCUAGAGAGAGAAGUAGUGCCCGUACCGCAAACCGACACAGGUAGAUGAGGAGAGAAUCCUAAGGCCGGCGGAAGAAUUGCAGUUAAGGAACUAGGCAAAUUGACCCCGUAAGUUCGCGAGAAGGGGUGCCUGCGAGAGCAGGCCGCAGAGAAUAGGCCCAAGCAACUGUUUAGCAAAAACACAGGUCUCUGCUAAAGCGUAAGCUGAUGUAUAGGGGCUGACGCCUGCCCGGUGCUGGAAGGUUAAGGGGAACACUUAGCGCAAGCGAAGGUGUGAACUUAAGCCCCAGUAAACGGCGGCCGUAACUAUAACGGUCCUAAGGUAGCGAAAUUCCUUGUCAGGUAAGUUCUGACCCGCACGAAUGGCGUAAUGACUUGGGCACUGCCUCAACUGCAAAUCCGGCGAAGUUGUAGUGCGAGUGAAGAUGCUCGCUACCCGCGAUUGGACGGAAAGACCCCGUAGAGCUUUACUGUAGCUUAGCAUUGAAUUCCGGUAUUGUCUGUACAGGAUAGGUGGGAGACUGGGAAACUAAGGCGUCAGCCUUAGUGGAGUCAACCUUGGGAUACCACCCUGACAGUACUGGGGUUCUAACAGGACGCCAUGAAUCUGGUGACUGGACAUUGUUAGGUGGGCAGUUUGACUGGGGCGGUCGCCUCCUAAAAAGUAACGGAGGCGCCCAAAGGUUCCCUCAGAACGGUCGGAAAUCGUUCGUAGAGUGCAAAGGCAGAAGGGAGCCUGACUGCGAGACAUACAAGUCGAGCAGGGACGAAAGUCGGGCUUAGUGAUCCGGUGGUACCUCGUGGGAGGGCCAUCGCUCAACGGAUAAAAGCUACCUCGGGGAUAACAGGCUGAUCUCCCCCAAGAGUCCACAUCGACGGGGAGGUUUGGCACCUCGAUGUCGGCUCGUCGCAUCCUGGGGCUGUAGUAGGUCCCAAGGGUUGGGCUGUUCGCCCAUUAAAGCGGCCCGCGAGCUGGGUUCAGAACGUCGUGAGACAGUUCGGUCCCUAUCCGUCGCGGGCGUAGGAAAUUUGAGAGGAGCUGUCCUUAGUACGAGAGGACCGGGAUGGACUGACCUCUGGUGCACCAGUUGUUCCGCCAGGAGCAUGGCUGGGUAGCUAAGUCGGGAAGGGAUAAACGCUGAAAGCAUCUAAGCGUGAAGCCUCCCUCAAGAUGAGAUUUCCCAUAGCAUAAGCUAGUAAGACCCCUUGAAGAACACAAGGUUGAUAGGUCAGAGGUGUAAGUGCGGUAACGUAUUUAGCUGACUGAUACUAAUAGGUCGAGGGCUUGACC
This 1317-nucleotide ribosomal RNA is filed under the name metagenome. RNAcentral describes it as "bacterial LSU rRNA". It matches the Rfam family "Bacterial large subunit ribosomal RNA", at positions 1594 to 2925 of the family's 2925-position model. The record is from RNAcentral.